CANUGGGGGAACCUUGAUGCAGCGACGCCGCGUGAAGGAAGAAGUAUCUCGGUAUGUAAACUUCUAUCAGCAGGGGAAGAUAGUGACGGUACCUGACUAAGAAGCCCCGGCUAACUACGUGCCAGCAGCCGCGGUAAUACGGAGGAUCCGAGCGUUAUCCGGAUUUAUUGGGUUUAAAGGGAGCGUAGGCGGACGCUUAAGUCAGUUGUGAAAGUUUGCGGCUCAACCGUAAAAUUGCAGUUGAUACUGGGUGUCUUGAGUACAGUAGAGGCAGGCGGAAUUCGUGGUGUAGCGGUGAAAUGCUUAGAUAUCACGAAGAACUCCGAUUGCGAAGGCAGCCUGCUGGACUGUAACUGACGCUGAUGCUCGAAAGUGUGGGUAUCAAACAGGAUUAGAUCCCCUGGUAGUCCAAGGGCGAAUUC
RNAcentral lists this ribosomal RNA (422 nucleotides) under uncultured bacterium. Its description in RNAcentral is "SSU rRNA". It matches the Rfam family "Bacterial small subunit ribosomal RNA", at positions 369 to 808 of the family's 1533-position model. The record is from RNAcentral.